GUGUGUCUGAGCCAUCUUCCGUGAGGACCCAUCUGCCUACCUCCACUACAAAAUCUAUUCUUCGUUUUUUUGUCUUCCAACCUGAAUACCAGAAGCAAUUGAGUUCAAGCACUGCCCCAACCAAGUUCCUAAGAAGGUCAGACCCCUCCAGCAAGGUCAUCUGUGGUAGAUGCAAUUAGUCAUUUCACUCCAUAAAAGUUAGGGUACCCUCCCCACAUUUUUACAGCUUUACCACCUUUACCGCUUCCUUGUGCUCCAGGUACUUCCCACAUGGGUAUCUGAUUCACUUUGCUUGCCUGCUUUCUCCAAAGUCCUGUUGCCAACCUAUCCAUGUGCAAAAAGUCCUGUUGCAACCUAUCUCAUGGGAGUGCCAGAGAAUCAACACCCCUGAACCAAAGACUGUCAGGAUGGUGUCUAAAUACCCCAGCUCCUUUGCCUCUGGGUGGGAUAACUUUGAGUAGGAGGCAUGUUUUCCAUGUCAUUCUUCAGAGUUUUCAUGAGAUAAGGUCAGGUGGCCCACAGUGGCAACUGGAUUAAGUUUUGGACCAUUUAUUGUCUAUCUUCUUUCCCAGUCUCUUUCCAAAUAAACCAACUCCACUUGUUUGCCUCAGGCUGUGUGUUCACGUACGCAGCUCUGAGCAGAGCCUAACAUGUAACAAAGGAUCAAAAGUGUAUACAGCUCUUGCUGAAUAUCUUCAUUUUCUUUAGCACCAGCCCUGGGUAUCAUAUUAUUCAUUCAUUCCUCCAUUCCUCGAUUCCCUCUUAUAUUCACUCACUCAACAGUUAAAAUCAUUUCCUUGUUGCUUGUGUUGGGCCAGUAGCUGCUAGGUGCUGGGAUGGAAAGAUGGAUAGGGCAAAGGCCCUACCUCUAAGAUGCUUCCAGUCAAGAGACCCAGAAUGGAAGUCCCUACUGGUACCCAACACACCUCCCAAAGCAGGCUGGCUUGCCUGGGGGCUUUGUAAAGAUAUCUUUGCUUGGCUCUGGAAGAGGUCAGCUGCACACUAUAUUUUUUCUCAUUCCAAGCAAACAAGCAAUAAUGUAAUGGCAGGAAGCCUCAUAAAAUGGUUAUUUCUAUUCCCGGACUGCUCCGGGGUUCCAUCUAAUUUAUAAACAUUGUUUUAUGAAAAAUUGAGAUCAUUCUUGGAAGUGCCCACAGAAAGUGACCUUUGCUUGUUUUGGUGCAGUGUUUGUAUGUGAAUGUGUACACGGCUAUUGUUGCUAAGGAGGCGAUGGCCAGCUCAGGGUAAAGGCUUUCUUUCCAUUCUGCACAUUUCCUUCAUAAGGGAGGGUGUAACUGAAACCCCUCUCCACACCCAUUCUCCCCCAGAAAGGCAGAAAUGGAG
Molecule: long non-coding RNA, 1344 nt
Filed under: Marmota monax (woodchuck)
Lineage: Eukaryota; Metazoa; Chordata; Mammalia; Rodentia; Sciuridae
Source: RNAcentral